Molecule: long non-coding RNA, 397 nt
Organism: Lagopus muta (rock ptarmigan)
Lineage: Eukaryota; Metazoa; Chordata; Aves; Galliformes; Phasianidae
Exons: 3
Source: RefSeq, a predicted model, not a curated record
UGUUCAGAUAAGGAGAAAUGCUAUGCCACUGAUUGGCGCCACUAGACAGGGGGGAGGGUUGUCAUCUCUCUGAAGCGAGUGAUUUUCAGGGUGAACUCCGAACGGAUCAGCAAGCAGAAGUCCCUUUACAGUUGGAGUUCCCCAUUACCACUUUCAUUGGAUGUUUGUUCAGGUUUCAAGCCUUCUUAAGCAUCACUACUUCAUUCUGUCUUGUGAGAGGCUCUGGUGCAGCAGAGUCAGUUCUGCACAGCCAGUUAAGUUCCUGUGAAUGGUGGAAAGCCAUUGUGAAGAGUUUCUGCACUACGAAGCAGAGAAUGAAAUAAUAUAAACUUUAAAAUGAAGAAAUGGAGGUACUGCUAUGAAAAGGUACCAUAUCAACCACUCUCUCACACACACA